UUAUGGCUCAGGACGAACGCUGGCGGCGUGCCUAACACAUGCAAGUCGAACGAAACUUCUUUAAAGGAUUUCUUCGGAAUGAAUUUGAUUAAGUUUAGUGGCGGACGGGUGAGUAACGCGUGAGUAACCUGCCUCUAAGAGGGGAAUAACAUUCUGAAAAGAAUGCUAAUACCGCAUAACAUAUAUUUAUCGCAUGGUAGAUAUAUCAAAGAUUUAUCGCUUAGAGAUGGACUCGCGUCCGAUUAGUUAGUUGGUGAGGUAACGGCUCACCAAGACCGCGAUCGGUAGCCGGACUGAGAGGUUGAACGGCCACAUUGGGACUGAGACACGGCCCAGACUCCUACGGGAGGCAGCAGUGGGGGAUAUUGCGCAAUGGGGGAAACCCUGACGCAGCAACGCCGCGUGAAGGAUGAAGGUCUUCGGAUUGUAAACUUCUUUUAUUAAGGACGAAUAAAGUGACGGUACUUAAUGAAUAAGCUCCGGCUAACUACGUGCCAGCAGCCGCGGUAAUACGUAGGGAGCAAGCGUUGUCCGGAUUUACUGGGUGUAAAGGGUGCGUAGGCGGCUUUGCAAGUCAGAUGUGAAAUCUAUGGGCUCAACCCAUAGCCUGCAUUUGAAACUGCAGAGCUUGAGUGAAGUAGAAGCAGGCGGAAUUCCCCGUGUAGCGGCGAAAUGCGAAGAGAUGGGGAGGAACACCAGUGGCGAAGGCGGCCUGCUGGGCUUUAACUGACGCUGAGGCACGAAAGCGUGGGUAGCAAACAGGAUUAGAUACCCUGGUAGUCCACGCUGUAAACGAUGAUUACUAGGUGUGGGGGGUCUGACCCCUUCCGUGCCGGAGUUAACACAAUAAGUAAUCCACCUGGGGAGUACGGCCGCAAGGUUGCAACUCAAAGGAAUUGACGGA
RNAcentral lists this ribosomal RNA (904 nucleotides) under uncultured Bacillota bacterium. Its description in RNAcentral is "bacterial SSU rRNA". It matches the Rfam family "Bacterial small subunit ribosomal RNA", at positions 17 to 917 of the family's 1533-position model. The record is from RNAcentral. Lineage: Bacteria; Bacillati; Bacillota.